This 509-nucleotide unclassified non-coding RNA is filed under the name Hevea brasiliensis (rubber tree). Lineage: Eukaryota; Viridiplantae; Streptophyta; Magnoliopsida; Malpighiales; Euphorbiaceae. The record is from RNAcentral.
GCGGAAGUUAAAUAUGUCCAGAUUCCGCUCACUACUGCAAGCAUCGUUGAAUGCUACAAGAAGAGCACUCGCGUGGAACAUUGAAGACCUAGUUCCACCCAGUGAAAGAUACAUUUUCAACUUCAGUUCAAAGGAUGAGCUCAAGAAUUGGCAUUUAUACUCAGAUUCAGAAUAUGGAGGUCUGUCCUCAGCAGCUUUGGAGAUUAAGGACACUGGAAAUGGGUCAACUAGUGUUGGUCUUUUCUCUGGAAACCUCUCUUUGGAUGUUAUGGAAGGAUCAAAGUGGAAUAUGACUCGAAGUGGCUUUUGUGGAAUGCGGUCUAAAAAGUUUGAUGGCUUCAUUGAUUUGGAUGGAUAUGACACAAUAGCUCUUAAACUUAAAGGGGAUGGAAGAUGCUAUAUUUCUACAAUAUACACAGAGAAUUGGGUCAAUAGUCCAGGACAAGAUGAAGAUAAUUCAUGGCAAGCAUUCGUUUUUGUUCCAAAAGACAACUGGUAUAUUGCAAAGA